This 723-nucleotide long non-coding RNA is filed under the name Bos taurus (domestic cattle). Its description in RNAcentral is "long non-coding RNA NONBTAT001148". Lineage: Eukaryota; Metazoa; Chordata; Mammalia; Artiodactyla; Bovidae. The record is from RNAcentral.
UCUAGCUGUCACAUUCAAGUUGAAACACUUUCAUUAUUGUAAAAUACACACAAUGCAGAUGAUAUGCUUCUUCACUAUUUAGUAACAAAAGGCUAACAGUGUUUUAAAACCGUUUAAUUGUGUAGAAAGCUGCACCUGGUGCUUUUUUGUUUCCCCUUUCUCGUAACAACCAGUGAUUAACUGCUAUCUUUUAAUAUUUUUUGGUUGACAGUGAUAAUACUGAAGGCAAUCUGGCACUGUGAAUUCAUAGUCAAAUGGUGACACCAACCAGAUGAGAUGAUGGUGUACCUCGCUCCAUGACAGUUCUAUCUCAGUUCAUCAUCUUAACUAAAAAAUAAUCCUAUCUAACUUGAAAUCCACAGCAGCUAUAAGUAGAAAAUAAAUCCAAACCACAGCUCAGACUUGUAACCUAACAGCUAUCAUAAAUAAUCAGAGCCUAUUUGAAGGUGGAAGAUGGGACAUUAGAAGCUAUUUACACCACUAGAGUGAUGCCAUCGAUCAGUAGCGGCAACCCGUAGAUAAGGCUCCUAUGAUGUCAUGGUUAUUUAUGAUGGGCAUUGACAGUAAAGCUACUAUGGAAUUUUCUCCUCAGACAGCUUCAUUCAUUUUUGUUUGUGAUGCAUUUUGUUGUUAAAGAAGCAAUCAAUAGCAAAAUUGUGGUGAUAAAAGUAUUACUUGUUAAAUAUGUGAAAAAUGCUGCAUGUAUGUAGGAAUGUGGGCAAA